AGGUAAGCUACUAAGAGCGAAUGGUGGAUGCCUUGACUGGUAAAGGCGAUGAAGGACGUACUAGACUGCGAUAAGCUACGGGGAGCUGUCAAGAAGCUUUGAUCCGUAGAUUUCCGAAUGGGGCAACCCAAUGUAUAGAGAUAUACAUUACCUAUAUAGGAGCGAACGAGGGGAAUUGAAACAUCUUAGUACCCUCAGGAAAAGAAAUCAAUAGAGAUUGCGUCAGUAGCGGCGAGCGAAAGCGCAAGAGGGCAAACCCAGUGCUUGCACUGGGGGUUGUAGGACUGCAAUGUGCAAGAGGUAAGUUUAGCAGAACAUUCUGGAAAGUAUAACCAUAGAGGGUGAUAGUCCCGUAUGCGAAAAACAAACCUUAGCUAGCAGUAUCCUGAGUAGGGCGGGACACGAGGAAUCCUGUCUGAAUCCGGGUCGACCACGAUCCAACCCUAAAUACUAAUACCAGAUCGAUAGUGCACAAGUACCGUGAGGGAAAGGUGAAAAGAACUGAGGUGAUCAGAGUGAAAUAGAACCUGAAACCAUUUGCUUACAAUCAUUCAGAGCCCUAUGUAGCAAUACAGGGUGAUGGACUGCCUUUUGCAUAAUGAGCCUGCGAGUUGUGGUGUCUGGCAAGGUUAAGCAAACGCGAAGCCGUAGCGAAAGCGAGUCUGAAUAGGGCGCUUAGUCAGAUGCUGCAGACCCGAAACGAAGUGAUCUAUCCAUGAGCAAGUUGAAGCUAGUGUAAGAACUAGUGGAGGACUGAACCCAUAGGCGUUGAAAAGCCCCGGGAUGACUUGUGGAUAGGGGUGAAAGGCCAAUCAAACUUCGUGAUAGCUGGUUCUCUCCGAAAUAUAUUUAGGUAUAGCGUUGUGUCGUAAUAUAAGGGGGUAGAGCACUGAAUGGGCUAGGGCAUAUACCAAUGUACCAAACCCUAUCAAACUCCGAAUACCUUAUAUGUAAUCACAGCAGUCAGGCGGCGAGUGAUAAAAUCCGUCGUCAAGAGGGAAACAACCCAGACUACCAGCUAAGGUCCCUAAAUCUUACUUAAGUGGAAAACGAUGUGAAGUUACUUAAACAACCAGGAGGUUGGCUUAGAAGCAGCCAUCCUUUAAAGAAAGCGUAAUAGCUCACUGGUCUAGUGAUUUUGCGCGGAAAAUAUAACGGGGCUAAAGUAAGUACCGAAGCUGUAGACUUAGUUUACUAAGUGGUAGGAGAGCGUUCUAUUUGCGUCGAAGGUAUACCGGUAAGGAGUGCUGGAGCGAAUAGAAGUGAGCAUGCAGGCAUGAGUAGCGAUAAUUAAUGUGAGAAUCAUUAACGCCGUAAACCCAAGGUUUCCUACGCGAUGCUCGUCAUCGUAGGGUUAGUCGGGUCCUAAGUCGAGUCCGAAAGGGGUAGACGAUGGCAAAUUGGUUAAUAUUCCAAUACCAACAUUAGUGUGCGAUGGAAGGACGCUUAGGGCUAAGGGGGCUAGCGGAUGGAAGUGCU
RNAcentral lists this ribosomal RNA (1479 nucleotides) under Campylobacter jejuni. RNAcentral describes it as "partial 23S ribosomal RNA". It matches the Rfam family "Bacterial large subunit ribosomal RNA", at positions 1 to 1508 of the family's 2925-position model. Lineage: Bacteria; Pseudomonadati; Campylobacterota; Epsilonproteobacteria; Campylobacterales; Campylobacteraceae. The record is from RNAcentral.